GACGAACCGAGCGAACGUUGUUCGGAAUCACUGGGCUUAAAGGGCGCGUAGGCGGGCUGCCCAGUCUGGGGUGAAAUCCUCCGGCUCAACCGGGGAACGGCCCCGGAUACUGGCGGCCUCGAGGGGGGUAGGGGCGGGCGGAACUGUGGGUGGAGCGGUGAAAUGCGUUGAGAUCCACAGGAACUCCGGUGGCGAAGGCGGCCCGCUGGACCCCACCUGACGCUGAGGCGCGAAAGCCAGGGGAGCGAACGGG
This 253-nucleotide ribosomal RNA is filed under the name uncultured bacterium. RNAcentral's name for it is "partial 16S ribosomal RNA". It matches the Rfam family "Bacterial small subunit ribosomal RNA", at positions 524 to 776 of the family's 1533-position model. The record is from RNAcentral.